UCGAGUUUUUGAACGCAAGUUGCGCCCAAAGCCAUCCGGUUGAGGGCACGCCUGCCUGGGCGUCACGCAUCGCGUCGCUCCCCC
RNAcentral lists this ribosomal RNA (84 nucleotides) under Takhtajaniantha mongolica. RNAcentral describes it as "Scorzonera mongolica partial 5.8S ribosomal RNA". The record is from RNAcentral. Lineage: Eukaryota; Viridiplantae; Streptophyta; Magnoliopsida; Asterales; Asteraceae.